This 212-nucleotide ribosomal RNA is filed under the name uncultured fungus. RNAcentral describes it as "partial small subunit ribosomal RNA". The stretch from base 63 to 212 matches the Rfam family "Eukaryotic small subunit ribosomal RNA", at positions 712 to 864 of the family's 1831-position model. The record is from RNAcentral. Lineage: Eukaryota; Fungi.
GACAAGGUGCUAUAGUCUACCAUUUUGGUUGGACUAAUGUAUCAAGUCUUUUUUUCUAGUAUCUCUAUUAGCCUUCUGGGUGUGUAGACGAUUCUAGGACUUUUACUUUGAAGAAAUUAGAGUGUUUAAGGCAGGCUUGUGCUUGAAUACAUUAGCAUGGAAUAAUAAAAUAAGACUUUGGUUUUAUUUUGUUGGUUUUUAAAACUAAAGUA